This 460-nucleotide ribosomal RNA is filed under the name uncultured bacterium. RNAcentral describes it as "partial 16S ribosomal RNA". It matches the Rfam family "Bacterial small subunit ribosomal RNA", at positions 338 to 795 of the family's 1533-position model. The record is from RNAcentral.
CCUACGGGAGGCAGCAGUGAGGAAUAUUGGUCAAUGGACGAGAGUCUGAACCAGCCAAGUAGCGUGAAGGAUGACUGCCCUAUGGGUUGUAAACUUCUUUUAUAAAGGAAUAAAACGAGGCACGUGUGCCUUUUUGCAUGUACUUUAUGUAUAAGGAUCGGCUAACUCCGUGCCAGCAGCCGCGCUAAUACGGAGGAUCCGAGCGUUAUCCGGAUUUAUUGGGUUUAAAGGGAGCGUAGAUGGGUUGUUAAGUCAGUUGUGAAAGUUUGCGGCUCAACCGUAAAAUUGCAAUUGAUACUGGCAGUCUUGAGUACAGUAGAGGUAGGCGGAAUUCGUGGUGUAGCGGUGAAAUGCUUAGAUAUCACGAAGAACCCCGAUGGCGAAGGCAGCUUACUAAACUGUGACUGACAUUGAGGCUCGAAAGUGUGGGUAGCAAACAGGAUUAGAUACCCUAGUAGUC